CCUACGGGAGGCAGCAGUGGGGAAUAUUGGACAAUGGGGGAAACCCUGAUCCAGCGACGCCGCGUGAGUGAAGAAGUAUUUCGGUAUGUAAAGCUCUAUCAGCAGGGAAGAGAAUGACGGUACCUGACUAAGAAGCCCCGGCUAACUACGUGCCAGCAGCCGCGGUAAUACGUAGGGGGCAAGCGUUAUCCGGAUUUACUGGGUGUAAAGGGAGCGUAGACGGCUGUGCAAGUCUGAAGUGAAAUGCCGGGGCUCAACCCCGGAACUGCUUUGGA
Molecule: ribosomal RNA, 275 nt
Filed under: uncultured bacterium
Lineage: Bacteria
Description: partial 16S ribosomal RNA
Rfam family: Bacterial small subunit ribosomal RNA
Source: RNAcentral